This 311-nucleotide long non-coding RNA is filed under the name Pelobates cultripes (western spadefoot toad). Lineage: Eukaryota; Metazoa; Chordata; Amphibia; Anura; Pelobatidae. The record is from RNAcentral.
GUAUAAAUAGGGGCUUAACUUCUUUAAUGCCCAGACCAGGGCCAAACAUUCCUUCUCCACUGCCGCAUAACUCACUUCCCGAGGUAGUAACUUUCUGCUGAGAUAUGCGACAGGGUGCUUUCCUCCAUCCUCCCUGACUUGGCUUAGCACAGCCCCCAGUCCAUACAUGGAAGCAUCUGUAUGGAUGAGAAAGCGUUUGUUAGGGACUGGGGCAGCCAAGACAGGGGCUUUCACAAGAGCCUGCUUCAGUGCCUGAAACGCGGCUUCACAAGCUGGAGACCACAGGACCUGCUUCGGUAAAUUCUUCUUAG